Molecule: ribosomal RNA, 425 nt
Filed under: uncultured bacterium
Lineage: Bacteria
Description: partial 16S ribosomal RNA
Rfam family: Bacterial small subunit ribosomal RNA
Source: RNAcentral
GUGGGGAAUCUUGCGCAAUGGGCGAAAGCCUGACGCAGCCAUGCCGCGUGAAUGAUGAAGGUCUUAGGAUUGUAAAAUUCUUUCACCGGGGACGAUAAUGACGGUACCCGGAGAAGAAGCCCCGGCUAACUUCGUGCCAGCAGCCGCGGUAAUACGAAGGGGGCUAGCGUUGCUCGGAAUUACUGGGCGUAAAGGGCGCGUAGGCGGACAGUUUAGUCAGAGGUGAAAGCCCAGGGCUCAACCUUGGAAUUGCCUUUGAUACUGGCUGUCUUGAGUACGGGAGAGGUGAGUGGAACUCCGAGUGUAGAGGUGAAAUUCGUAGAUAUUCGGAAGAACACCAGUGGCGAAGGCGACUCACUGGCCCGUUACUGACGCUGAGGCACGAAAGCGUGGGGAGCAAACACGAUUAGAUACCCGAGUAGUCC